GAUGAACGCUGGCGGCGUGCCUAAUACAUGCAAGUCGAGCGAACGGACGAGAAGCUUGCUUCUCUGACGUUAGCGGCGGACGGGUGAGUAACACGUGGAUAACCUACCUAUAAGACUGGGAUAACUUCGGGAAACCGGAGCUAAUACCGGAUAAUAUUUUGAACCGCAUGGUUCAAAAGUGAAAGACGGUCUUGGUGUCACUUAUAGAUGGAUCCGCGCUGCAUUAGCUAGUUGGUAAGGUAACGGCUUACCAAGGCAACGAGGCAUAGCCGACCUGAGAGGGGGAUCGGCCACACUGGAACGUAGACACGGUCCAGACUCCUACGGGAGGCAGCAGUAGGGAAUCGUCCGCAAUGGGCGAAAGCCUGACGGAGCAACGCCGCGUGAGUGAUGAAGGUCUUCGGAUCGUAAAACUCUGUUAUUAGGGAAGAACAUAUGUGUAAGUAACUGUGCACAGCUUGACGGUACCUAAUCAGAAAGCCACGGCUAACUACGUG
RNAcentral lists this ribosomal RNA (497 nucleotides) under uncultured bacterium. Its description in RNAcentral is "partial 16S ribosomal RNA". It matches the Rfam family "Bacterial small subunit ribosomal RNA", at positions 28 to 507 of the family's 1533-position model. The record is from RNAcentral.